RNAcentral lists this ribosomal RNA (253 nucleotides) under uncultured bacterium. Its description in RNAcentral is "partial 16S ribosomal RNA". It matches the Rfam family "Bacterial small subunit ribosomal RNA", at positions 524 to 776 of the family's 1533-position model. The record is from RNAcentral.
UACGUAGGGGGCAAGCGUUGUCCGGAUUUAUUGGGCGUAAAGAGCGUGUAGGCGGCCAAGCAGGUCCGCUGUGAAAACUCGAGGCUCAACCUCGAGACGUCGGUGGAAACCGUUUGGCUAGAGUCCGGAAGAGGAGAGUGGAAUUCCCGGUGUAGCGGUGAAAUGCGCAGAUAUCGGGAAGAACACCCGUGGCGAAGGCGGCUCUCUGGGGCGGUACUGACGCUGAGACGCGAAAGCGUGGGGAGCGAACAGG